GGUUGUCAUGUUAUGUUAUCUUCUCAAAUAUCAUAUCCCUAGUUUUAGGCCACCAUCUUUUCUCAAUGAUAGCGAGUUAUAGUUUAUACUUUCCCCUAAAUCUCAUUACAACUUGAAAAUAGGUUAGCAACAAUUUUCAGAAAAUUUGGAACUCAAAGCUAGCCGAAUUUAUAUCAGUCUCAACUAUUUUAUUCACUCUUACCACUGAAAAAUAUAUUUCAUUUUCAAGAUCAUUUUCCCAGCAGAUGUCCCCAGAAAUUGCUCACAGAAUGAGCUCCAACAGAUCUUUGCAAUUAUGAUACAAUUACAAUGCCAUCCAACACCUAAAAUUCAAGAAUCUACUAACGAAUACAAAAACGCCCAGAACAUUAUGAAGCUAGUCCAACAUGCAUAAGAAGACAGCUAGCUCACUCCUUAUCCUUUCGAUGCACCAUAGAUAAAGCAUUAAAGUUCCGGUAUUGCAACGCAGUUUCAACAAGAAUCUGCCAUAACUGACCUAUACUCAGCAAAUAAUUAGCAAACACCACCUUAAUGGGCUUAGAUAUAUCCUAACUUCUGAACACUUAGAUGGCAAGAAAAUGUCCGGUUGUUUAAAAAUAGCAUAACCUGUGAUUUUCUUCUCCAAGCAACCAAAACCAGUCUGCAAAAAGAUUCUAAUCAUUCUAUCCAGAAAAGAAUUCCUCUUCUGAGAAGAUAGUGACAUUGUCUGGCACCAUGUUCCAAGAGGAGAGGAAAAGGGGAUGAGGUGUCAAGCAAGAUGUAGACUUUCCAAAUCUUCAGAACUUCCAGAGCAAUAUGCUAUCAGACUCUAUAGAGAUUCAAAGGAAAAGCAAAUAUGCUGACAUAGGUCUAGCUAUUCUAGAACUAAAUUUUAGACACUUCUAUCAUCAUACAUUAAUGCAGCAAUAAUAUAAAACACUAUAAACAUGAACUUCUAAACAUAUUUAUUUUUAAAAAACAAUCUUUUAAUUGUUUGAAUGUGAAACUACCAAAACGAUACGUUUAAGAUCCUACAUAACAUAAUAUAUAUUGAAAUGGCAUCUAUGUCAUCAGUAUUCUUGAAUGAUUUGAUUUUGUUUGACCAUUUUUCACUUGAGACAAGGAUUGAUAGUUAUGGUUAUGUCUUUAUAAGUUUGAACCUAAACCGGUACAUAUUUGGUCUGACUGAAAACCAAAUCUGAGCUUUCAAACCACAACAAGUUUGAUACAGAGACGCAAAGAAUAGUGUCACUGUACGAUAUCAUUUCAACACAUACAAAUCAUGAAAGUGGACCCUAAUAGAACACGUUAGAUGCAUCCAAGUUGUCGGUAAACAAUUACAUCAACCAUACUAUCUCAUUAAUCUCGAUAUUUUGCUCAUUCAUUAAUUAUACAAUAUGCAGGAAGAAUGGUCAAAGGGCAGAACCACCAAAGAAUAUUCUCCAUUGAAAAAUCAGGGUGUUUUUUUUUUUUUUGGGGGGUGGGGGGGCAUGAGAAAGCAAUUCAAUUGAAGGUAUAGGCCAGCUAGGAUAUGUUAACAGAGUCUCAAAUAAGCAAAAAAACCAACUAUUACAACAUUGUAACACAGAUGACGCUUAUGAGAAGUGAACACUUUCCUAGAAUGACCAUAAUUUUGGUCUAGGCCAAAGAGGAAGAGCACUAAGGAAAGUAAAAACAGAACCAAUCCACUACUAACAUGAGCACCUUUAAGGACAGAAUUUUCAUAUAAAGCCUCCUCCACUUUUAGUCUAGAGAAAAGGCAAAGAAACUCUUCUCACCUUUAAUUGUUCUUUAACAAAAAUGAGGGCUAGACCAAACUUCUAGAGACUAUUAAAAAGCAAAAUGCAAACCAUUUAAAAGACACUAAACCGAGCAAAGAUAAAGAAACCAUAAAAGAAAGCCUCCAUGUCAAAUAUGAAACCUAAUAUGAACCUAUGAUUACUUAUCAUGUCAAGCUGAUUUCAAAUACAUACCUGCAUACCUAAAAGAACCCUGAACACCCAAGAACCCUUUAUGAUGAGCAAUCAAGUAAAGCCUCAUUCCGAAGAAUCAGUACCAUAAAAUGAAGCAAUAUUAACUACAAGGAAGCAUCCCUACUUUUUCCAAAUAAGAUCCGCACUGUUCUAAGUUAAUAUUUGUUCAACCCUUUCAAAACAUAAAUCCCCAUCAACCAGAUUCUGUGAAGUAGGUUCAUUUUGUAGAUAUCUCAAAUUAUUAAUGAGAUAGUUGCUGCCACAAUUACUCACCUUUCUUCUCAUUUAUUUUAAAUUACAUUAGAUUACAGCAACUUAAUGGUUUUAUAAGCAAAGAAGAAGUAACAUUAUUCUUGCAUAUUAGCCAUUAAGCCUUGUCCCUUGCAGAAGGAGUAACUUUAGGAAUUAGGAUAAUCCACUAAAAUUUGGACGUGCAGCAUAAUAAUUUUUUUAACCUAAUGUCAAUCCUUUAGAAUUGGUAUAAGUCAUACAGAAGACAUCUCAGGACAAGAAAGGGCCUUUGUGGCUUGAGAUUAAACCUAGAAGGCUACACCUCUCUGCUUGAUUAUCCAGUUCAUGCUCAUGUAAUCAAGUAGCAAUCCUCCAAGUUAGAACAAGUCUAUGCAAAAGGAAGAAAAACAAGGGGCUUACAAUUCUCUCUAAUGUCCAACUUAUAAAACAAAAAGCUGAAAUGGAAUGUGAUCCCCAAUUUUCCACUGAUAUCCAUAUCCAUCCAUCUCCAUCUGAUACAUACAUACAUACAUACAUAUAUAUAUAUAUACAUGCAUACAUACAUACAUACAUAUGUAUCUAUAUAGAUAUGUAUGUAUACAU
This 2786-nucleotide long non-coding RNA is filed under the name Elaeis guineensis (African oil palm). RNAcentral's name for it is "long non-coding RNA (EGUI_LNC026502)". The record is from RNAcentral. Lineage: Eukaryota; Viridiplantae; Streptophyta; Magnoliopsida; Arecales; Arecaceae.